GCUGCCAACCUUGUUUCCGUUCCUUCUCUUCACCAAAACCCUAAUAACGAAAAGUACCCUUUGCACCUUCUCCAUCUUCCAUCUUCUUCCUCGCUCGCUCUCAUUUUCUUCCAUCCACGACCUAUUUCCUAUGCUUCACACCGUCCGCACUGUGUCUUUAGGGCACACUUCCACUUCAUUCUUUCCCUUCAAACCUUCUCACCCUUCUUCAUUCGCAUUCCACAUGGAGCAAACUCCUCUCUUAUCUUUCAAGUUAAAGCAGUCUAACCAACCCCGCAUCGCUUGUCAAGCAUCAUCGCACAAGCACGAAGCUAAGCUGUUUCUCCAAGAAAUAAAGAAUCAGUUGUUCAUGGACUAUCUGAAACGAUUGUUGGAGUUUUGGGUGGAGGUCAACUUGGUAGCAUGCUUUGUCAAGCUGCUUCUAAGAUAGCAAUUAAGAUCGUGGUUCUAGAUCCUCAGGAGAAUUGUCCGGCAAGCUCGUUGUGUUAUCAGCACAUGGUUGAAAGCUUUGAUGAGUGUGCAACAGUAGAGGAAUUUGCGAAGAGGACAAGUAUCUGCAAAAGGUUCACUUCUCUAAGCAUGGCAUUUCAAAGAAAACAGAAAGUACUUUAUAUUUGUUGUGUGAUUACAUUACAUCAGAGAAAAAUUGUACUCAGUACCUUUUCAGCAUCGAUGGCGUUAGCCACUAUGAUGAACUAUUGUGGAGAGACAGAUCUGAGUACCCAACGACUACGAAAAGUGUGAAAUGAACCUGACAUGCAUUUUGAUAUCUCAACUCCAUUGUCAAGAGUCACCACUAUCCAUCCAUCAUUGUUGCCAUUGUUUCCUCUAUUCGUGUCCGAAGCUGCUAAUAACUCUUGUAUGCAGCUUUCACUUGCAAACUGCACAUACUUUCUAAGAGAGUCCUCACUAAUCGACCAGGAUCGGCUGCAAGGUACAGUUCUAGUUCUGCUCAUUGUGACUUCUAUUGAUUUGUUUUCUUUAAGACAUUAAGGUUUAAAACUAUUGAUAAAUGAAAGACAUAAAUAUACACAAAAAGUGGCAAUGUCAUGUGAUGAUGCUUAGUUUAAAAGAGAAGAGAAAAAACAGAAGAUAAAUGUCAUGACCUGGAUGCUUAUACUGAAAUUCUAGUAUACACUCAUCGAUAAAUCAUGGGGGUUGUUAUCUAGCUAGUUGUUAUUAUAUGGCUUUAUCUCCUUGCUUCAUCAGUUGCUAUUGCCAGCCAACAGUCUAGCUUAUUUCUAGAGGGGAGACAUAAUGCUGACAGAGGAUGGAUCUCGGAGCUUAAAAAGUCGGGAGAAGCUUUGAUCUUGCCUAGAGUUGUUCUGGAAGCAUCACCCUAAGAAAGAAGAACCUAAGGAACAAAGCCAUUGACCUUAUUGUCACAGAGUGCAAG
Vicia villosa (hairy vetch) is the source of this 1396-nucleotide long non-coding RNA. RefSeq lists it as uncharacterized. The record is from RefSeq and is a predicted model, not a curated record. NCBI's taxonomy places the organism in Eukaryota, Viridiplantae, Streptophyta, Magnoliopsida, Fabales, Fabaceae. The transcript has 4 exons.